Molecule: long non-coding RNA, 358 nt
Filed under: Coturnix japonica (Japanese quail)
Lineage: Eukaryota; Metazoa; Chordata; Aves; Galliformes; Phasianidae
Description: lncRNA (ENSCJPG00005018092.1)
Source: RNAcentral
AUUUAUCGGAAGGCCAAGUAUCCCUCAAGUAUUAAUUCUUGUUUGUUUUUAGGUAAACAAGACUUGUUUCUGGUUAGUGCAUGGAGUCUUUAACUGUGGCAGUGGCAUAUACCUCUUCUGUGCUUCAAAUACGCACCAAGUCAUCUCUCCUGCUUUGCUUUUCCUUCCUUUGACUGUCUCUGCUGCUCUGAGCCCUGCUUUGUUGAAUGAAGUCACAGACCUGUAUGUGGGGGACGUACAAUGUCUUCUCCAGAGUGGCAGAAGGUCUCCUGACCUGGAGCAGAAGCUGAGAAAUAUGUGGCUGCAAAAGGAAUAUCCUCAGGCAAGCACUAAGCCCUACGUGCUGGGAUGUGAGUGA